Gossypium raimondii (Peruvian cotton) is the source of this 87-nucleotide non-coding RNA. The record is from Rfam. NCBI's taxonomy places the organism in Eukaryota, Viridiplantae, Streptophyta, Magnoliopsida, Malvales, Malvaceae.
CACGUCAGCGCGCUUUGCUGAUGUGGCAACAAAUCGCGUCCACGAGGGAGCGAUUUGUUGCCACGUCAGCAAAGCGUGCUGACGUGG